UAGGGAAUCUUCGGCAAUGGACGGAAGUCUGACCGAGCAACGCCGCGUGAGUGAAGAAGGUUUUNCNGAUCGUAAAGCUCUGUUGUAAGAGAAGAACGAGUGUGAGAGUGGAAAGUUCACACUGUGACGGUAUCUUACCAGAAAGGGACGGCUAACUACGUGCCAGCAGCCGCGGUAAUACGUAGGUCCCGAGCGUUGUCCGGAUUUAUUGGGCGUAAAGCGAGCGCAGGCGGUUAGAAAAGUCUGAAGUGAAAGGCAGUGGCUCAACCAUUGUAGGCUUUGGAAACUGUUUAACUUGAGUGCAGAAGGGGAGAGUGGAAUUCCAUGUGUAGCGGUGAAAUGCGUAGAUAUAUGGAGGAACACCGGUGGCGAAAGCGGCUCUCUGGUCUGUAACUGACGCUGAGGCUCGAAAGCGUGGGGAGCGAACAGGAUUAGAUACCCUGGUAGUCCACGCCGUAAACGAUGAGUGCUAGGUGUUGGGUCCUUUCCGGGGCUCAGUGCCGCAGCUAACGCAUUAAGCACUCCGCCUGGGGAGUACGACCGCAAGGUUG
This 551-nucleotide ribosomal RNA is filed under the name uncultured bacterium. Its description in RNAcentral is "bacterial SSU rRNA". It matches the Rfam family "Bacterial small subunit ribosomal RNA", at positions 355 to 896 of the family's 1533-position model. The record is from RNAcentral.